GGGGUUGUAGCUCAGUGGUAGAGCACUUCCCUAGCAUGUAUGAGGCACUGGGUUCAAUUCUCAGCACCACA
This 71-nucleotide transfer RNA is filed under the name Marmota monax (woodchuck). Its description in RNAcentral is "tRNA.Ala". It matches the Rfam family "tRNA". Rfam says of the family: Transfer RNA (tRNA) molecules are approximately 80 nucleotides in length. Their secondary structure includes four short double-helical elements and three loops (D, anti-codon, and T loops). Further hydrogen bonds mediate the characteristic L-shaped molecular structure. tRNAs have two regions of fundamental functional importance: the anti-codon, which is responsible for specific mRNA codon recognition, and the 3' end, to which the tRNAs corresponding amino acid is attached (by aminoacyl-tRNA synthetases). tRNAs cope with the degeneracy of the genetic code in two manners: having more than one tRNA (with a specific anti-codon) for a particular amino acid; and 'wobble' base-pairing, i.e. permitting non-standard base-pairing at the 3rd anti-codon position. The record is from RNAcentral. Lineage: Eukaryota; Metazoa; Chordata; Mammalia; Rodentia; Sciuridae.